This 912-nucleotide ribosomal RNA is filed under the name Furcasterigmium furcatum. RNAcentral's name for it is "partial large subunit ribosomal RNA". It matches the Rfam family "Eukaryotic large subunit ribosomal RNA", at positions 34 to 965 of the family's 3401-position model. Lineage: Eukaryota; Fungi; Ascomycota; Sordariomycetes; Glomerellales; Plectosphaerellaceae. The record is from RNAcentral.
UUAAGCAUAUCAAUAAGCGGAGGAAAAGAAACCAACAGGGAUUGCCCUAGUAACGAGCGAGUGAAGCGGCGAACAGCUCAAAUUUGAAAUCUGGCUCCUUCGGGGCCCGAGUUGUAAUUUGCAGAGGAUGCUUCGGGUGCGGGUACCUACUGAGUUCCCUGGAACGGGACGCCAUAGAGGGUGAGAGCCCCGUCUGGUAGGACACCCAGCCCAUGUGAAGCUCCCUCGACGAGUCGAGUAGUUUGGGAAUGCUGCUCUAACGGGAGGUAUACUCCUUCCAAGGCUAAAUACCGGCUGGAGACCGAUAGCGCACAAGUAGAGUGAUCGAAAGAUGAAAAGCACUUUGAAAAGAGAGUCAAAUAGCACGUGAAAUUGUUGAAAGGGAAGCGCUCGCUACCAGACUUGGGUUCGGCGGUUCAACCGGGGCCACGCCCCGGGGCACUCCGCCGUCCCAGGCCAGCAUCAGCUUUCCGUCGGGGGCAAAGACGUCGGGAAUGUGGCUCCCCUCCGGGGGAGUGUUAUAGCCCGGCGUGUCAUACCCUUCGGGGGGCUGAGGUACGCGCUUCUGCAAGGAUGCUGGCGUAAUGGUAGCUAGUGACCCGUCUUGAAACACGGACCAAGGAGUCGACCUUAUGUGCGAGUGCCCGGGCGUAAAACCCCAGCGCGGAAUGAAAGUGAACGUAGGUGAGAGCUUCGGCGCAUCACCGACCGAUCCAGAUGUCCUCGGACGGAUUUGAGUGAGAGCAUAUAGGGUCGGACCCGAAAGAAGAUGAACUAUGCGUGUGUAGGGUGAAGCCAGAGGAAACUCUGGUGGAGGCUCGCAGCGGUUCUGACGUGCAAAUCGAUCGUCAAACAAUGCGCAUGGGGGGCGAGAGACUAAUCGAAUCUUCCUGGUAGCUGGUUUCCGCCGAC